Heteronotia binoei (common prickly gecko) is the source of this 1617-nucleotide non-coding RNA. The record is from the annotation of a RefSeq genome assembly. Lineage: Eukaryota; Metazoa; Chordata; Lepidosauria; Squamata; Gekkonidae.
GCAUCUCGAGUUUAGGGAACAAUGUUUUUAGACACCUAAGAUGGGAGUUAAGACCACUGUGACUACUAUGCUUUUGACUAUUGGGGCAAAGGAACCAUGGUGACAGUAACCGCUGCUUCCCAAACUGCCCCUUCUCUUUUCCCCCUUAUUCCAUCAUCGGACUACACUGGAGACAUCGUCACCAUUGCGUGCUUGGCCAAGGAUUUCCUACCUGACUCACUCACUCUCUCUUGGCAAAAGCCAAACAAUGACAGCCUUGAGGCAGAAAAAAUCAGGCGAUUCCCUUCUAUUGCUAACUCUAAUGGGGUCUACACCGCAAGCUCAGAGGCGACCAUCCCUGCUAAUCAGUGGGAGGCAUUUGAACCCUUCUUCUGCAAGGCCGAACUUGCUUCUCAGACCAGGGUGACGCGAGUCGUUCCUUCAAUCUCAUGUGAGGAACUUGAACCUACGAUUACUAUCGGCGUGCCUCCUCUAGAAGAUUUUCGAAGUGCGUACCUCAAUGCCACUCUUCUCUGCAAGGCUGAUAACCUGCACACUGAGAAGACUACCAUUAAGUGGCUGAAGAACGGACAGGUGCUUCCCUCUGGAUUCACCACCUAUGCACCAGUCAGAGGAGGCCGUGGCAGUUACUCCAUCAACAGCGAGCUCAUCGUCACCAGAAAGGACUGGUACGCUGAAGAGGUAUUUUCCUGCCAAGUGCAAAAUGACAAGUUCAAUCUGAUCAAGAAUGUCAGCAAAUCUUCUGUUUGUGAAGGUUGUGAAGGUAGUACUGUGCCAGUUCGUGUGGAGACCAUCCCACCAGCCUUCGCUGAUAUGUUCCUGACCAAGACAGCUUACGUGACCUGCAGAAUCUCCAACUUACCCUAUGGGCAGGAUCUUGCAAAACUGAAUGUCACCUGGACACGAGAACACAGCAACGGACGAGUGGAAAUAUUGCCAACCGAAACAGGGCAGCCUAAAGAGCAAGAAAACAGAGAGCUGGUAUAUGUGGAUACCACAGCCAACAUUUGCGUAGAGGACUGGGAGAGUGGUGAUAACUUCCAGUGCACGGUUAGACUUCCCCUACUUGCAAGUACAGAAAUAAGGAAUUUGAAGAAGCAGAAAGGUGAUAGCCACAAUCCCCCAUCUGUCUAUGUCCUUCCUCCUCCCUCGGAACAGUUGGCUUUGCAGGAAACAGCCACCGUCACUUGCCUGAUAAGAAAUUACUACCCCAACGACUUCUUUGUACAAUGGAUGCGGAACGAUGAAGCCGUACCAGCCUCAGAUUACUACGUCGGAAAACCCAUAGAGGAAUCCAAGAGCCCCCAGCGGUUCUUCACCUAUAGCACCAUGAAUGUCAAUCAGCAGGAUUGGAAUUAUGGAGCCAGAUACACUUGUGUGGUGGGACACGAGGCGCUUCCCCUCAACACAAUCCAGAAGACGAUAGACAAGAACACGGCUUACCUUGAUGGGAUUGUAGCCAUCGAUGACGAUGAGGGACUGCUAAACAUCUCAUCCAUCCUUUCCACUUUCAUCAUCCUUUUCCUCGUGAGCCUUUUCUACGGUGCCACCGUGACUGUCAUUAAGGUAAAACGAAUAGGAUGAGAAGGAACUUACUAGGACAUAGCUUUACAAACU